UUGCUUUCGCAGCACAUACACUAAAAUUGGAACGACACAGAGAAGAUAAGCAUGGCCCCAGCGCCAGGAUGACAUGCAAAUUCGUGAAGCGUUCCAUAUGUCA
This is a small nuclear RNA of Kogia breviceps (pygmy sperm whale), 103 nucleotides long. Lineage: Eukaryota; Metazoa; Chordata; Mammalia; Artiodactyla; Physeteridae. The record is from RefSeq and is a predicted model, not a curated record.